RNAcentral lists this ribosomal RNA (2922 nucleotides) under Klebsiella pneumoniae. RNAcentral's name for it is "23S ribosomal RNA". It matches the Rfam family "Bacterial large subunit ribosomal RNA". Lineage: Bacteria; Pseudomonadati; Pseudomonadota; Gammaproteobacteria; Enterobacterales; Enterobacteriaceae. The record is from RNAcentral.
GGGUUGUGAGGUUAAGCGACUAAGCGUACACGGUGGAUGCCCUGGCAGUCAGAGGCGAUGAAGGACGUGCUAAUCUGCGAAAAGCGUCGGUAAGGUGAUAUGAACCGUUAUAACCGGCGAUGUCCGAAUGGGGAAACCCAGUGUGAUUCGUCACACUAUCGUUAACUGAAUACAUAGGUUAACGAGGCGAACCGGGGGAACUGAAACAUCUAAGUACCCCGAGGAAAAGAAAUCAACCGAGAUUCCCCAGUAGCGGCGAGCGAACGGGGAGCAGCCCAGAGUCUGAAUCAGCUUGUGUGUUAGUGGAACGGUCUGGAAAGUCCGACGGUACAGGGUGAUAGUCCCGUACACCAAAAUGCACAGGUUGUGAACUCGAAGAGUAGGGCGGGACACGUGGUAUCCUGUCUGAAUAUGGGGGGACCAUCCUCCAAGGCUAAAUACUCCUGACUGACCGAUAGUGAACCAGUACCGUGAGGGAAAGGCGAAAAGAACCCCGGCGAGGGGAGUGAAAAAGAACCUGAAACCGUGUACGUACAAGCAGUGGGAGCACCUUCGGGUGUGACUGCGUACCUUUUGUAUAAUGGGUCAGCGACUUAUAUUCUGUAGCAAGGUUAACCGUAUAGGGGAGCCGCAGGGAAACCGAGUCUUAACUGGGCGUUAAGUUGCAGGGUAUAGACCCGAAACCCGGUGAUCUAGCCAUGGGCAGGUUGAAGGUUGGGUAACACUAACUGGAGGACCGAACCGACUAAUGUUGAAAAAUUAGCGGAUGACUUGUGGCUGGGGGUGAAAGGCCAAUCAAACCGGGAGAUAGCUGGUUCUCCCCGAAAGCUAUUUAGGUAGCGCCUCGUGAAUUCAUCUUCGGGGGUAGAGCACUGUUUCGGCUAGGGGGUCAUCCCGACUUACCAACCCGAUGCAAACUACGAAUACCGAAGAAUGUUAUCACGGGAGACACACGGCGGGUGCUAACGUCCGUCGUGAAGAGGGAAACAACCCAGACCGCCAGCUAAGGUCCCAAAGUCAUGGUUAAGUGGGAAACGAUGUGGGAAGGCACAGACAGCCAGGAUGUUGGCUUAGAAGCAGCCAUCAUUUAAAGAAAGCGUAAUAGCUCACUGGUCGAGUCGGCCUGCGCGGAAGAUGUAACGGGGCUAAACCAUGCACCGAAGCUGCGGCAGCGACACUAUGUGUUGUUGGGUAGGGGAGCGUUCUGUAAGCCUGCGAAGGUGUGCUGUGAGGCAUGCUGGAGGUAUCAGAAGUGCGAAUGCUGACAUAAGUAACGAUAAAGCGGGUGAAAAGCCCGCUCGCCGGAAGACCAAGGGUUCCUGUCCAACGUUAAUCGGGGCAGGGUGAGUCGACCCCUAAGGCGAGGCCGAAAGGCGUAGUCGAUGGGAAACAGGUUAAUAUUCCUGUACUUGGUGUUACUGCGAAGGGGGGACGGAGAAGGCUAUGUUAGCCGGGCGACGGUUGUCCCGGUUUAAGCAUGUAGGCUGGUUGUCCAGGCAAAUCCGGAUAAUCAAGGCUGAGGUGUGAUGACGAGGCACUACGGUGCUGAAGUAACAAAUGCCCUGCUUCCAGGAAAAGCCUCUAAGCAUCAGGUAACAUCAAAUCGUACCCCAAACCGACACAGGUGGUCAGGUAGAGAAUACCAAGGCGCUUGAGAGAACUCGGGUGAAGGAACUAGGCAAAAUGGUGCCGUAACUUCGGGAGAAGGCACGCUGGUGUGUAGGUGAAGUCCCUGCGGAUGGAGCUGAGACCAGUCGAAGAUACCAGCUGGCUGCAACUGUUUAUUAAAAACACAGCACUGUGCAAACACGAAAGUGGACGUAUACGGUGUGACGCCUGCCCGGUGCCGGAAGGUUAAUUGAUGGGGUUAUCCGUAAGGAGAAGCUCUUGAUCGAAGCCCCGGUAAACGGCGGCCGUAACUAUAACGGUCCUAAGGUAGCGAAAUUCCUUGUCGGGUAAGUUCCGACCUGCACGAAUGGCGUAAUGAUGGCCAGGCUGUCUCCACCCGAGACUCAGUGAAAUUGAACUCGCUGUGAAGAUGCAGUGUACCCGCGGCAAGACGGAAAGACCCCGUGAACCUUUACUAUAGCUUGACACUGAACAUUGAGCCUUGAUGUGUAGGAUAGGUGGGAGGCUUUGAAGCGUGGACGCCAGUCUGCGUGGAGCCAACCUUGAAAUACCACCCUUUAAUGUUUGAUGUUCUAACGUUGGCCCCUGACCGGGGUUGCGGACAGUGUCUGGUGGGUAGUUUGACUGGGGCGGUCUCCUCCCAAAGCGUAACGGAGGAGCACGAAGGUUAGCUAAUCCUGGUCGGACAUCAGGAGGUUAGUGCAAUGGCAUAAGCUAGCUUGACUGCGAGCGUGACGGCGCGAGCAGGUGCGAAAGCAGGUCAUAGUGAUCCGGUGGUUCUGAAUGGAAGGGCCAUCGCUCAACGGAUAAAAGGUACUCCGGGGAUAACAGGCUGAUACCGCCCAAGAGUUCAUAUCGACGGCGGUGUUUGGCACCUCGAUGUCGGCUCAUCACAUCCUGGGGCUGAAGUAGGUCCCAAGGGUAUGGCUGUUCGCCAUUUAAAGUGGUACGCGAGCUGGGUUUAGAACGUCGUGAGACAGUUCGGUCCCUAUCUGCCGUGGGCGCUGGAGAAUUGAGGGGGGCUGCUCCUAGUACGAGAGGACCGGAGUGGACGCAUCACUGGUGUUCGGGUUGUCAUGCCAAUGGCACUGCCCGGUAGCUAAAUGCGGAAGAGAUAAGUGCUGAAAGCAUCUAAGCACGAAACUUGCCCCGAGAUGAGUUCUCCCUGAGACUUUAAGUCUCCUGAAGGAACGUUAAAGACGAUGACGUUGAUAGGCCGGGUGUGUAAGCGCAGCGAUGCGUUGAGCUAACCGGUACUAAUGAACCGUGAGGCUUAACCUUACAACGCCGAAG